RNAcentral lists this ribosomal RNA (492 nucleotides) under uncultured bacterium. RNAcentral describes it as "partial 16S ribosomal RNA". It matches the Rfam family "Bacterial small subunit ribosomal RNA", at positions 29 to 507 of the family's 1533-position model. The record is from RNAcentral.
AGUGAACGCUGGCGGUAGGCCUAACACAUGCAAGUCGAACGGCAGCACAGUAAGAGCUUGCUCUUACGGGUGGCGAGUGGCGGACGGGUGAGGAAUACAUCGGAAUCUACUUUUUCGUGGGGGAUAACGUAGGGAAACUUACGCUAAUACCGCAUACGACCUACGGGUGAAAGCAGGGGAUCUUCGGACCUUGCGCGAUUGAAUGAGCCGAUGUCGGAUUAGCUAGUUGGCGGGGUAAAGGCCCGCCAAGGCGACGAUCCGUAGCUGGUCUGACAGGAUGGUCAGCCACACUGGAACUGAGACACGGUCCAGACUCCUACGGGAGGCAGCAGUGGGGAAUAUUGGACAAUGGGCGCAAGCCUGAUCCAGCCAUACCGCGUGGGUGAAGAAGGCCUUCGGGUUGUAAAGCCCUUUUGUUGGGAAAGAAAAGCAGCAGGUUAAUACCCCGCUGUUCUGACGGUACCCAAAGAAUAAGCACCGGCUAACUUCGUG